AUUGAACGCUGGCGGCAUGCUUUACACAUGCAAGUCGAACGGCAGCACAGGGAGCUUGCUCCCGGGUGGCGAGUGGCGCACGGGUGAGUAAUACAUCGGAACGUGUCCUGUUGUGGGGGAUAACUGCUCGAAAGGGUGGCUAAUACCGCAUGAGACCUGAGGGUGAAAGCGGGGGAUCGCAAGACCUCGCGCAAUUGGAGCGGCCGAUGCCCGAUUAGCUAGUUGGUGAGGUAAAGGCUCACCAAGGCGACGAUCGGUAGCUGGUCUGAGAGGACGACCAGCCACACUGGGACUGAGACACGGCCCAGACUCCUACGGGAGGCAGCAGUGGGGAAUUUUGGACAAUGGGGGCAACCCUGAUCCAGCCAUGCCGCGUGCAGGAUGAAGGCCUUCGGUUGUAAACUGCUUUGUCAGGGACGAAAAGGACCGUGUAAGUACCAUGGUCUGCUGACGGUACCUGAAGAAUAAGCACCGGCUAACUACGUG
This 486-nucleotide ribosomal RNA is filed under the name uncultured bacterium. RNAcentral describes it as "bacterial SSU rRNA". It matches the Rfam family "Bacterial small subunit ribosomal RNA", at positions 30 to 507 of the family's 1533-position model. The record is from RNAcentral.